This is a long non-coding RNA of Cygnus olor (mute swan), 992 nucleotides long. RefSeq lists it as uncharacterized. The record is from RefSeq and is a predicted model, not a curated record. Lineage: Eukaryota; Metazoa; Chordata; Aves; Anseriformes; Anatidae. The transcript is spliced from 3 exons.
GCUGACUCCUGCAGGACAGGCUGCCUUCUCCAGACGGGCCCAAAAGAGAGGCAAGAGCAGCUGGAGCAAGUUACCCAGCAUCUGGUUGAGAUGACCAAAUUACCAGAAAGAUAAGUUUCUUGCUGAUUUGGCAACAGAAAUUCCAGUCCUGACUGGAUUUGUGAUUCAUGGAAAAGAUCAAAUGCUGUUCAGUGACCUCUACUGUAUUUUGGAACAGACUUUCUCCCAGGUUUAUCACAAGUCCUGAAGCCUGAGAACUGCGGAAACUGAGCAAGACCAGUGUAGGCAAACGGUGUUAAAAGCAUCAGGCAUGUAACUGCGGCAUCCGUCACCGGAGUACCUACUUGCUGCACAUUGUCCUGCUUUGAAGACGAUGAAUUUUCAAGAGCUUGAGCCAGAUUUCCCGGACCCGAGCAUCAGGGAGAAAUACAUUUGCUGUAAAAAGCGAGGGCACCCGCUUCCUGACUGGAACAGAUUGAGCUGCUUAUGAGUACAGAGCCUCUAUUGUUCUGCCCUGUGAGAUUGUGCUAAAAGCUUUGAAGCAACGUUUGCAUGUAGGUGUCAGUUUUCUAAGCAGCUUUUUUCUUUCCCUGUUUAAAAAAAAAAAAAAAAAAGAACAAAUCCUGCCACCCUACUCUCCCAGCCUUUUCUUGGCAGUGGCUGUUUGACUUGGUAAUUGUUUAUUUUAUGAUGUGUUGUUUAGGUUUCCCGGUUUUUCUUUGGCCUGGCUAUUUAACCUCUUUUCCUUAUUGGAUCAAAAUCAGAGUAUACUCAGUGAGUUAGUGCAGGAACUUUGCAAUUAUAGACGAUAGAGAUUCAUAAUGUUGUAUUACGCAGGAGUAUUACGUGGAGUAUUAUAUGUGAUAAACUAUAGUGUGUGUCCACUACUUAAAUGUCUUAAUUCCUUUGUGAAAUCCAAAGAUUAAUAAAAUGGCUGCAGUAGAAAUAUAAAUACAAAUUGCAGGCAGGAGCUGUAGACCUGCAAUACACAA